AUUAUGUAAUUAUUUUAUUUUCUUAUGUUCUUGUAGAUCAUUUUAUUGUACAGAUAAAAGGACAUUUAAUAAAGAGAAAUAUAGUAACAUUUUAAUUCGACAGAAGGUAUUUUAAUCAAUAAAUUUUUAACCAAAUCAAUGAACUGUUUCUGUGAUGCAUUAUCAAACUUUCUGCAUAGCAUAAGUACAUCAAUAUGUAUCAGAAAAUGUAAUAAAAUAGGGGUGAUUUUGAAAAACAUUUUUGGAAUCUGAGGUGGAUUGUUAAGGUUAUAUCUCUUAUUUUAUUACAUGUACAUAUGCAUUUGUAUUUCAUAGUUAAUUUGAAUUUUAUCUUCUUUCUUAGUGAUAUUAGUUCCAUUUAUCGGACAAGAUAUUUUUAUGAAACAAUAUACUAUAACAGUAUCAAAUAUUUGAGUCAGGUCUAUACUUCUAUGGUCAUCCCACCUAUACAUGAUAAAAUGCAUAAAGGUAGACAAUUAUUGCUACUUAAAUGGAAAAAUCAAAUUGCUCUUGUUUGGAUCUUUCUCUUGCUUGGAUUCCAUUUGUUGAUACACAUGUCAGCGAAGAUUGCAGUGGAUACAUAGUCAUGUAAACCACAUGAAAGUCAUGUGAAGCUGCAUGAUAAAUGUUCCCUAGCAUAGCUGCUUUUCAAGGAAAUCAACAACACUGAAAAUGAUAAGUAUCUAUGUUCAAAUAUUAUAAAAGUUAUGGAGUAAAUACAUUACAGGAUUCAUAUACACACUUCAUCACUUGGUGUUUCAUCGCUGCCUUUCUCACAUUAAAACUUAACACUCUGGAAAAUGGUGGCACAACAGUUGAAACAAACAACUAUUAAAGCAAGCAACAUCUAUUUGAUUGAGAAAAGAUACAAGUUAACUCUAGAUGCACUAACUGUUCUACUGCUUCCUUACUACUAUCUAGUACUAUAAGAACAAUGUAUUCCUGACAGAUCACACAGUAGCAAAUCAAAAUGCUGACAAUAGUUGGUUAUGUUCAAUAGCCUGGACUUUGGAAGUUAUCCACAUAAACCGUAUACUCUUGUCUACUUGUCGUAAUUGUGUUAUACUUAUCCAGUUUAUUAUGAUGGUAACAAGACCACCAAGGAAUUAAUCAUACUAAAUCAUUGGGCUCAAGCUCUAGGCUAUAAAGAUAGUAUCCAGAAAAACUGAAAUUUAUGUCAGGACUUCGCUAAGAAUGAUUCUGAUAAAGCUGUUAAUAAUAUUGUGAAUUACAAAUCUGUCAAAGUAAUUAAGCUGAAUAUUGGACCAAUGCUGAUUCAUAUGUACAGCUUCGUUCUCUUUUAAAGUCUUUCAACUUAUUGUCAGUAGUCAGAUGCUUCAUUGAGGACAUAUAUCAAUGAUGGACCUCAUACUUCUUCCUACCAUGGUAUGUCCUGGAGUUCUGAAGGGUUCCUUUCAGUCACCUUCCCAGUCCUUGUGGAGUAUCUUAAUAGGAUUCUCAGUGCAUCUACAGGAGUCAAUGCAGAAGUCAAUUGGAGUCCUCCACACUGCAGACCCAGUUUUAGACUUCUUUCUCAAUUUAAAUAGUUGUUACUGUAAUCUUUAACUCUGUUGUCACCCAAUAAGUCAGUCAAAUUAUUAUUACUUUAAAAAUACCAAGAUGAAGAUGUGUAAUUCUGUAUAUAAUUGAAUUUUAUUUUAAUUCAUCAUUUUCAGUGAAAAAA
Long non-coding RNA from Amphimedon queenslandica, 1684 nucleotides. RefSeq lists it as uncharacterized. NCBI's taxonomy places the organism in Eukaryota, Metazoa, Porifera, Demospongiae, Haplosclerida, Niphatidae. The record is from RefSeq and is a predicted model, not a curated record. The transcript has 6 exons.